Long non-coding RNA from Symphalangus syndactylus (siamang), 5479 nucleotides. RefSeq lists it as uncharacterized. The record is from RefSeq and is a predicted model, not a curated record. NCBI's taxonomy places the organism in Eukaryota, Metazoa, Chordata, Mammalia, Primates, Hylobatidae.
AUGAUGGAUAAACCCUUUAAGCGCGUUUCAAGUCGCCCAGCUGGAGCCUCUGUUGGGCAGUGAAGCUUCAGGAUUCCCAUGAGAUGGAUCUGCAUGGGGUUUAGUCCUCUCUUGAAACACUGCCCGUUUGCAGGAGCGCCGGCCCACAGGGCAGAAGUCAAGACUGUCAGAGCAAGCGCUGGUUCUGAAGCUGGAAGGACUUUCAAGGCCUCAUUCCCCAAACUCAUUUUUUUUUAAAAUCUCUGCUCGUCUUAAAAAAUGGAGAGGCAGGCGCCCCAACAAUCUCUCAGGAGUAACUGACACACGUGACUUGCGGUGUCUUCAAAGGAACAAUCUGCAACUUGCUACUGUUUAAACAGAGCAAGACUAACAGUCGCCAGCAGCCGGUUCACGCAUAAUGCCCUUUGCAGGUGAAAGAAAACGGCACUGGAGGGUCGACUGCAGAAGCAGACGCAGUGCACAGUGGACAUCUGCCCCUUUUGGGGGCCCUGCCAUGGUGCUUCCUGAAAACUCAGGUUAAGCUGACUCUGCUGUCAGGCUGAUGAGGCUCCUGCACCCACCUUUGCUCAGCACGCCAGCCCAGACGGAAGAGCAGGUGCUAUGGCAGAAAUGAGUUCUUGUAGCAACUAUUUUUGAUACUGAAACUGAAAAGCGAGAGCAGCAAAGCUGUCCACAGAGCUCCUGACAGUUAGGCCCGGCUUUGGCUGCUGAUGCAAGUGCCGAAUGAUGCUAUUUCUGCGGCAGCCGGCCGCGGGAGCUGACCCACCGCGGGAUGUGCCCCAGGAGGCAGAAGAAACGCUGGGAACCGCACCUGACCUCGCCAGCAUCCCCCAGGCAAAGCCAGGCACUUUGAGUUCAUCGGUGGAGUUGGGCGAUACUCCUUUCCCGUCUGUGUGCUUAGCUGCUGCCAACAGGACAUGCUGGGUGACGCCUUACAGAACACAGCCAGUUGUGUGUUUUAUAAAGCAAGGCUUCCCUCCCCCAAAGACAAAUAAAACCACAGGUGUGGAAGGGACACCCUCCACCGCACCCCGCCCUAGUAAUCUGACACCACAAGCAAAGACACGGCCUGUGUGGGUAAGGUACAUUGUAAACGUUUAAAACUUCCUGUUCCCUGAUGCCUCAACUUCCCCGCAGACCGACGCACCUGUGACGGACAGGGCCCUGUGACCUCGUGACCUUCAUACACACCAAUGAAGCCCCUCAUGCCUUCUGCUGUCUUUCCCCCACCGCUGACUUGCCCACAGGUCCCCACCAGCUGCCCUGCCUCUGGAGCUGCCUCCUGUGUGCCCCCCCAGGCCCCUUGAGGUGCUGUGCGUCCCAUCUGGAACCAGCAGUUCACCCUCUCUCCCAGCCACCCUUCCAGACCCCACUUACAACACACGACUAAGCAACGCAGUACAGGCCGUGUAUUCCUAUUUGUUUUCCUGUGCCAGCUCAUCUGGUAUCUUCGUAUUUUAAUGGAUAAAACUAAAAGAUGACAACUUGAAGCCCCAGUGCAUCCCUCUCAAAUCGAGUGAAGUUUACAACACCUUAAUUAUAAAAGAUUUUUCUGAUCUGAAAGAAAGCAGAGUGUACAGAAACUUCACUUUCAGGCCUCUGAGCCCAAGCCAAGCCAUCACAUCCUCUGUGACUGGCACGUAUGCAUCCAGAUGGCCUGAAGUAACUGAAGAUCCACAAAAGAAGUAAAAAUAGCCUUAACUGAUGACAUUCCACCAUUGUGAUUUGUUUCUGCCCCACCCUAAUUGAUCAAUGUACUUUGUAAUCUCCCCCACCCUUAAGAAGGUACUUUGUAAUUCUCCCUACCCUUGAGAAUGUACUUUGUGAGAUCCACCCCCUGCCCCCCAAAACAUUGCUCCUAACUCCACUGCCUAUCCCCAAACCUGUAAGAACUAAUGAUAAUCCACCACCCUUUGCUGACUCUCUUUUCGGACUCAGCCCGCCUGCACCCAGGUGAAAUAAACAGCCAUGUUGCUCACAUGAAGCCUGUUUGGUGGUCUCUUCAAACGGACAUGCAUGAAAUUUGGUGCCGUGACUCGGAUCGGGGGACCUCCCUUGGGAGAUCAAUCCCCCGUCCUCCUGCUCUUUGCUCCGUGAGAAAGAUCCACCUACGACCUCAGGUCCUCAGACCCACCAGCCCAAGCAACAUCUCACCAAUUUCAAAUCCGGACCCCACUGGAAAUCGGACUGUCCGACUCACCUGGCAGCCACUCCCAGAGCCCCUGGAACUCUGGCCCAAGGCUCUCUGACUCCUUCCCAGAUCUUCUCGGCUUAGCGGCUGAAGACUGACACUGCCUGAUCGCCUCGGAAGCCCCCUAAACCAUCACGGACGCCGAGCUUCGGGUGACUCUCACAGUGGAAGGUAAGCCCAUCCCCUUCUUAAUCAAUAUGGAGGCUGCCCACUCCACAUUACCUUCUUUUCAAGGGCCUGUUUCCCUUGCCUCCGUAACUGUUGUGGGUAUUGACGGCCAGGCUUCUAAACCUCUUAAAACUCCCCAACUCUGGUGCCAACUUAGACAAUACUCUUUUAAGGCCUCCUUUUUAGUUAUCCCCACCUGCCCAGUUCCCUUAUUGGGCCGAGACACUUUAACUAAAUUAUCUGCUUCCCUGACUAUUCCUGGACUACAGCCACAUCUCAUUGCCGCCCUUCUCCCCAACCUAAAGCCUCCUUCGCGUCUUCCUCUCAUAUCCCCCCACCUUAACCCACAUGUACGGGACAUCUCUACUCCUUCCCUGGCAACCGAUCACAUGCCCAUUACCAUCCCAUUAAAACCUAAUCACCCUUACCCCGCUCAACGCCAAUAUCCCAUCCCACAGCACGCUUUAAAACGAUUAAAGCCCAUUAUCACUUGUCUGCUACAGCGUGGCCUUUUGAAGCCUAUAAACUCUUCUUACCAUUCCCCCAUUUUACUUGUCCUAAAACCAGACAAGGCUUACAAGUUAGUUCAGAAUCUGCACCUUAUCAACCAAAUUGUCUUGCCUAUCCACCCCAUAGUGCCAAACCCAUACACUCUCCUAUCCUCAAUACCUCCCUCUACUACCCAUUAUUCUGUUCUAGAUCUCAAACAUGCUUUCUUUACUAUUCCUUUGCACCCUUCAUCCCAGCCCCUCUUUGCUUUCACUUAGACUGACCCUGACACCCAUUAGGCUCAGCAAAUUACCUGGGCUGUACUGCCGCAAGGCUUCACAGACAGCCCCCAUUACUUCAGUCAAGCCCAAAUUUCAUCCUCAUCUGUUACCUAUCUCAGCAUAAUUCUCAUAAAAACACACGUGCUCUCCCUGCUGAUCGUGUCCGAUUAAUCUCCCAAACCUCAAUCCCUCACAAAACAACAACUCCUUUCCUUCCUAGGCAUGGUUGGUGUGGUCAGAAUUCUUACACAAGAGCCAGGACCGCACCCCGUAGCCUUUCUGUCCAAACAACUUGACCUUACUGUUUUAGCCUAGCCCUCAUGUCUGUGUGCAGUGGCUGCCGCUGCUUUAAUACUUUUAGAGGCCCUAAAAAUCACAAACUAUGCUCAACUUAGUCUCUACAUUUCUCAUAACUUCCAAAAUCUAUUUUCUUCCUCAUACCUGACGCAUAUACUUUCUGCUCCCCGGCUCCUUCAGCUGUACUCACUCUUUGUUAAGUCCCACAAUUACCAUUGUUCCUGGCCCGGACUUCAAUCCGGCCUCCCACAUUAUUCCUGAUACCACACCUGACCCUCAUGACUGUCUCUCUCUGAUUCACCUGACAUUCACCCCAUUUCCCCAUAUUUCCUUCUUUCCUGUUCCUCACCCUGAUCACGCUUGAUUUAUUGAAGGCAGUUCCACCAGGCCUAAUCGCCACACACCAGCAAAGGCAGGCUAUGCUAUAGUACAAGCCACUAGCCCGCCUCUUAGAAUCUCUCAUUUCCUUUCCAUUGUGGAAAUCUAUCCUCAAGGAAAUAACUUCUCAGUGUUCCAUCUGCUAUUCUACUACUCCUCAGGGAUUAUUCGGGCCCCCUCCCUUCCCUACACUUCAAGCUCGAGGUUUUGCCCCCACCCAGGACUGGCAAAUUAGCUUUACUCAACAUGCCCCGAGUGAGAUAACUAAAAUACCUCUUAGUCUAGGUAGACACUUUCACUAAAUAGGUAGAGGCCUUUCCUACAGGGUCUGAAAAGGCCACCGCAGUCAUUUCUUCCCUUCUGUCAGACACAAUUCCUCAGUUUAGCCUUCCCACCUCUAUAGUCUGAUAACAGACCAGCCUUUUUUAGUCAAAUCAACCAAGCAGUUUUUCAGGCUCUUAGUAUUCAGUGAAAUCUUUAUAUCCCUUAUGGUCCUCCGUCUUCAGGAAAAGUAGAAUGGACUAAAGGUCUUUUAAAAACACACCUCACCAAGCUCAGCCACCAACUUAAAAAAGACUGGACAAUACUUUUACCACUUUCGCUUCUCAGAAUUCAGGCCUGUCUUUGGAAUGCUACAAGGUACAGCCCAUUUGAGCUCCUUUUUAUUAGGCCCCAGUCUCAUUCCAGACACCGGACCAACUUGGACUGUGCCCCAAAAAAACUUGUCAUCCCUACUAUCUUCCGUCUAGUCAUACUCCUAUUCACCGUUCUCAACUACUCAUACAUGCCCUGCUCUUGUUUACGCUGCCGGUUUACACUGUUUCUCCAAGCCAGCACAGCUGAUAUCUCCUGGUGCUAUCCCCAAACUGCCACUCGUAACUCUUGAAGUAAAUAAUCUUUGCUGGCAGGACUAUGCUGAAUCUCCUUAGGCACUCUCUAAUCAGAUGUCCUGAGUCGUCCCAAUUCUUAGAGCUUUUAUACCUGUUUUUCUCCUUCUCUUAUUCCAUUUAGUUUUUCAAUUCAUCCAAAACCAUAUCCAGGCCAUCACCAAUCAUUCUAUACGACAAAUGUUUCUUCUAACAUCCCCACAAUAUCAUCCCUUACCACAAGACCUCCCUUCAGCUUAAUCUCUCCCACUCUAGGUUCCCACGCCGCCCCUAAUCCCACUUGAAGCAGCCCUGAGAAACAUCACCCAUUCUCUCUCCAUACCACCCCCCAAAAAUUUUCGCCACCCGAACACUUCAACGCUAUUUUAUUUUUCUUAUUAAUAUAAGAAGGCAGGUAUGUCAGGCCUCUGAGCCCAAGCCAAGCCAUCGCAUCCCCUGUGACUUGCACGUAUCCAUCCAGAUGGCCUGAAGUAACUGAAGAUCCACAAAAGAAGUAAAAAUAGCCUUAACUGAUGACAUUCCACCAUUGUGAUUUGUUUCUGCCCCACCCUAACUGAUCAAUGUACUUUGUAAUCUCCCCCAUCCUUAAGAAGGUUCUUUGUAACUCUCCCUACCCCUGAGAAUGUACUUUGCGAGAUCCACCCCCUGCCCCCAAAACAUUGCUCCAACUCCACCGCCUAUCCCAAAACCUAUAAGAACUAAUGAUAAUCCACCACCCUUUGCUGACUCUUUUCGGACUCAGCCCGCCUGCACCCAGGUGAAAUAAACAGCCACGUUGCUCACACAAA